UACGUAGGGUGCAAGCGUUGUCCGGAAUUAUUGGGCGUAAAGCGCGCGUAGGCGGUUACUUAAGUCGGAUGUGAAAGCCCUCGGCUUAACUGAGGAAGUGCACCCGAAACUGAGUAGCUGGAGUACGAAAGAGGGUCGCGGAAUUCCCGGUGUAGAGGUGAAAUUCGUAGAUAUCGGGAGGAACACCGGUGGCGAAGGCGGCGACCUGGGUCGAGACUGACGCUGAGGCGCGAAAGCGUGGGGAGCGAACGGG
RNAcentral lists this ribosomal RNA (253 nucleotides) under uncultured bacterium. Its description in RNAcentral is "partial 16S ribosomal RNA". It matches the Rfam family "Bacterial small subunit ribosomal RNA", at positions 524 to 776 of the family's 1533-position model. The record is from RNAcentral.